RNAcentral lists this small RNA (35 nucleotides) under Bombyx mori (domestic silkworm). Its description in RNAcentral is "ovarian small RNA-13996". Lineage: Eukaryota; Metazoa; Arthropoda; Insecta; Lepidoptera; Bombycidae. The record is from RNAcentral.
CCUGAAACGACACCGGUUUCUUGAUCGUCUUGCUG